Molecule: ribosomal RNA, 253 nt
Filed under: uncultured bacterium
Lineage: Bacteria
Description: partial 16S ribosomal RNA
Rfam family: Bacterial small subunit ribosomal RNA
Source: RNAcentral
UACGUAGGGGGCGAGCGUUGUCCGGAUGUAUUGGGCGUAAAGAGCGCGUAGGCGGCCAGGUAGGUCCGACGUGAAAUCUCGAGGCUCAACCUCGAGCGGUCGUUGGAUACCGCCUGGCUAGAGUCCGGAAGAGGAGAGUGGAAUUCCUGGUGUAGCGGUGAAAUGCGCAGAUAUCAGGAAGAACACCCAUGGCGAAAGCAGCUCUCUGGGACGGUACUGACGCUGAGGCGCGAAAGCGUGGGGAGCGAACAGG